Molecule: transfer-messenger RNA, 370 nt
Filed under: Actinomycetota bacterium
Lineage: Bacteria; Bacillati; Actinomycetota
Rfam family: transfer-messenger RNA
About the family: Bacterial tmRNA, also known as 10Sa RNA or SsrA, is named for its dual tRNA and mRNA-like properties.
Source: RNAcentral
GGGGGUGAACGGUUUCGACUCUGGACGUUAAGUCAGUGGGAAGCGUGCCGGUGCAGGCGAGAGACCACCGUAAGCGUCAUCGCAACCCAAUAAGCGCCGACUCUAGUCAGCGCCAGUUCGCCCUCGCCGCCUGAGCGAGUAGCGACUGUGUCGGACCGGGGGUGUCCCCGCCCCGGACCCCGGCACCAGUAAGGGGACUCACCACCAGGCCCGGUCGCGGGGUCUGGAUGGGACACCUACAGCGACUGGGAUCGUCACACCGGCUUGUCUGCGUGACCGGUGGGUCCGAGUAGAGGCUUAGCAGACUGCGCACGGAGAAGCCCUGACGAGGCGACGGAGGACCCGGGUUCGAUUCCCGGCACCUCCACCG